This is a long non-coding RNA of Eublepharis macularius, 1598 nucleotides long. RefSeq lists it as uncharacterized. Lineage: Eukaryota; Metazoa; Chordata; Lepidosauria; Squamata; Eublepharidae. The record is from RefSeq and is a predicted model, not a curated record. The transcript has 3 exons.
CUGAGGGAAGGGUUAGUUGGGGUAAUUCAAGUUUGGUUUAGGAGUGGGGUGGGGGGAUAGGAAGGUACUAGCGCUGAGGCCAUGAAGGGUUAAUUCCACAUAGGGUUAAGGUGGCUCGAAUUGUGGACCGAAGUAUAACGAACGUGCCAUCCAGCCGCAUCCAGCUCAUGACGGCCCCUUCCAUGGGGAGUUCCGGGCGUGAGAUGAGUAGAAGUGGUUUGCCACCGGCUUCUUCCGCGUAGCGAUCCCUAGUCUUCCUUAGUGGUCUUCUAUUCAAGUACUGUCCGUCCCCGCUUAGUUCCCAAGUUCUGACUAGCUCGGCCCAAACUGGGCUGAGGAUGUUCCUCAGCAAAAGCUACAGAAAGGUUCUGGGACUGGGAUCAGUUGUGCAAAGAAGUAAUAGAUCUUCGGUGUAAAUGAUUUCCCAGUGCACUUUUUUUAGGGGCUGGGCGGGGGAUGGAGAAAUGUUAAAGAAAGGGAAUGUAGGGCGGGAGUAAUAAUAUUAAUAAUUAUUCUGAUGAUCUCAUGGAGAGAGAUGAAUCAGUUCCUGAGUCGAGAAAAAGGCGCGCGCGCAUGCAGGCAAAUUCUGAAAGAGGGAAGCGGGUUUGAAACCUCUUGCUGGGUCCUUCUGCCGAGAACCGGCGCCUUCCUCUCACGUCUGCGGUGGCAUCUGGGAACUGAUGGAAGCCUCUGAUUUGUGUGGGUAUCAACCAACUGUGAAAAACAGCUGCCCAAGCUGCAACCGUGGUGGGGAAACGCUGCAGCCCUUCAGCGAAGCAAAUCCAUACAGAGGGAGAAAAGAACAGGGAAUCUCAAGAAAAUAAAUAAUGAACCUGUAACUUGACCUUUAGGUGUGCACAUUGAAAGCCCUAUGAGAGUAAGAAAUUUCCUUUGCUCAUAUCACAAUUGAUAGGAAUCUUGAAGGAACUGGAAGCGAUGCAUGGGAUGGAAGCAAACUUGCCCUGCUGUGAUGUGAUAUUGUGGUUAGACUGUUGGGGGCCAUGUUCAGAUCCCCACUGUACCAUGGAAGCUCCCUGUGUGAACUCGAACCGGUCACACUCUCACAGCCUAAGCAACCUCACUGAGUAGGGUCUUUUGAGGAUAAAAUGGAAGAGGAGAGAAUUAUGUUGAAAGUAGACAUGGGCACGAACAGCAUUACGAACUAAAAAAACCCACGAACAGCCCAUUAGUCUUUUCAUGAGGCCCCAUUCUAAACAAAUAAGUGGUUGUUGCAAACCUCCUUGGUUGCCUUCGUCAGCCGUUCGUCAAGCCAGACAGUCUGGCACCUGCAAUCAAUUCUCUUGGCAACUGGAGGCAGGGACUGACUCUGUCUGAACUCCUUCUGGCUUUCCUUCUGGCUUUAACCCUUCAAAGUACUUCCAGCAGAGAGUCCCGUUUUUGCCACUGUGAAGAGAAAAUGACAGCCAAGGGGGAGACCCGUGGAUCAUUCCCAGGGUGCAAUUUCUCUGAAACUUGGGGGGGUCUUCAAAGGACAGUGAGGACUAUGUCCCCUGCAAAUUUGGUGGGUAUUGGACAUUGGGAAGGUCAGUUGGUAACCCCUCAAACUAGCUGCUAGCAGACACUGCUGUUUUUGCCAG